RNAcentral lists this transfer RNA (86 nucleotides) under Caudoviricetes sp. Its description in RNAcentral is "tRNA-Leu". It matches the Rfam family "tRNA". Rfam says of the family: Transfer RNA (tRNA) molecules are approximately 80 nucleotides in length. Their secondary structure includes four short double-helical elements and three loops (D, anti-codon, and T loops). Lineage: Duplodnaviria; Heunggongvirae; Uroviricota; Caudoviricetes. The record is from RNAcentral.
GCCUCCGUGGCGGAACGGCAUACGCAGCGGACUUAAAAUCCGCCGUCCUUAUCGACUUAUGGGUUCGAAUCCCAUCGGAGGUACCA